Dicentrarchus labrax (European seabass) is the source of this 3571-nucleotide long non-coding RNA. RefSeq lists it as uncharacterized. NCBI's taxonomy places the organism in Eukaryota, Metazoa, Chordata, Actinopteri, Moronidae. The transcript is spliced from 2 exons. The record is from RefSeq and is a predicted model, not a curated record.
AAUAAGUUAACAUGUAGACAUUUAGUGGACGUGCAUACGCAUCACUAAAAUGACUAAUUGUACACACCUACCCUAUUUAACUUUCUAAGAUUCUGACGCAAAAAACAGGAAAAGGAAUUUCAUUGACGAGAAACAAUGUGGUCAAUCCGAAAAGAUCUGGAGUCAAUUUUGUUGAAUGAAAUCAAAGAGGAACUGGAGUUUUAAGAAACAGCACAGCUGUGAACCAGGAGUUCCUCAGGGGUCAAUUCACUUUAUCCUGUCAGAGUCACAUUCUAGGAAGAUUAAUGUGCUGGCGUGUAAACAGAAGUGAUUCCUCGUUUUGAUGUCGCCACAUUCAAUUUCAUGGUCAAAACUUCUUUGCUCUUCCGCGUGGAAGACUUGUGGUGAGCAGUAAAUUAUAAUCACCUUUUCAAACACAUGCUGAGCUAAAACCACUAAAAGCAUCCGGGAUCCAGAUGCAGGCUGGCUGCCAUUGACGCCAGACAGAAAAUUAGUUUAGUGAGUAGAGCUGGGGAUGCGGCAGGCUGCGGACAAGCGGCGGAGACACCGGGAAAGAGAUAGAGAUAAUGGCAGUGAUUGAUGAUCUGGCCUGCUGAUAUGAAAUGCUCUUCCUUGUCUCAUUCAAUUAUUCACCCUGAAUAAAAACAGUCUGCGUGCCUAUGCACUCCCUGAAGAAGAUGAUGACUUCAUCAACAGCACUCUGCUGAUGUGUAUCCAGGACUGCUUGAAAAUGUUGUGAGAUGCGCUGCUUAUCCUCCGCAUCAAAGCACUCAAUUUAAAGGACAAAGAACUCUAAUGAAUAUCUGAUAGAAGCAGAGCUCAUCUGCCAGCCACUGUUGUUUUGACUUCUUUGUUACUCCCAUACUUGAAAUUUAACCAAAUAGAUGUAUUCUGACCUUUCUCCAGAGUCUUUUUUCUUUGCGUGCUCUUACAGAAGAGAGCAGAGGAUGAGUCAAGACAGAAAAGAACAGAACAAAAAAGACAAAUUGACAUUUAGACUCAACAAUUGUUUUGUGUAAUGGAGAGGAAUUUCAGGAUGGGUUGGGGAGUUCAUGGAAAUGUUAUGUUAAAUUUUAAUCACUUUUGUGUGCCUAUUCAUCAACAUCAGCAACUCCCAGUCCAAACAUCGUAACUGAAGCACAAUCUGGACAGCUUUUUAUUUCCAAUAAACUUUAAUAUAUCAACUUAAGCUCUGUGAGGUUUUGGGGGAUUAAACUCUCCUAGAUCGACGUAUACAUACAUUUGUCAGUACCAGAAGGAAGUAUUUCUGUUGAGGUCAAUGCUGGCUGGAUCAAAUGAGGAAAAUUGAAAAUACUUUAAGUAUUUAGUCACAACUGCUCUGAUCUGUCUAUUUUCUUACCAGAUAAGCAAAAAAUGAGCGGAUUGUUUUGCUAGCUGAGAGGGAGAAUGGCUGGAUAUACUCUCACUUGGGAGGAAUGUUGACAGGCCUCGGCACAAUGCUUGACAGCGGGUCACUGACCUAAUUGGGUUUGUUUAGGGUGAGUCUAUUGUUAAACACUGAGCACAGUUUUCUGGAUUGUUUGGCAGCUAUAUUUCGUUUGAUAAACCACACAGGGAAUAACAUAACCUUGGUUAUGGCCGGGAGUGAGAAAGUACAACAGGGAGCGCCGUAAAUCUCUGGGGUUAUCUAACAGUUCCGACAGCACCGAUGAAAAGCGAGGGGAAAUCAUUCAUCACUGACUCUCUCAACAAUGGUAUAGAGACUCAUUUACGCCUGACCAUCUCCUCUCCUCUCAGCAGCUCAGUGUGGCCUGAUCACAGUCCAUCAUAACUACUGUGAGGCCCUGAGGCGCUGGAGACAGCAGCAGAUUUUAACUGGUGAUACGCACUCCAUCAAAGGGACGCCGCAACACCCUGAUGUGCUCUGGCGGGCCUCUUGCUGCCUGCCAGGCAGAUCUAACGCGCCCCCACACACUACCUCCUGACACCAAAGGCUGUUUCUGCUAUCUGUUCCACACCAGAGUACAGUAGGUACCUACUAAUGUUUGAUGGACAUGGUCAUACUUCACCUUGAAGGACCACAACUGCAGUUUUUCAUGUUUUAGUCCAUUAACUACAGCACAAAUAGUCUACACUUUACAUUACUGCCAAGUGUACCGUAAGUUCUUAGAUUGAUUUCCUGCCUUCCAGGCAGCAACCUGUUUCAGCUCAUUUCAAUCCAUUUGAAAAUAAACUUGCAGAGAAUUAAAACUGGCUGGAGAUGCAGUAUGUAAUCCAUCAGAGUCACUUAGUUACAUUUAGUUAUUAUAAGAACACAGGUGCAUGCAGGGACUUUUCCAUGUUUUUAUUCUUUUCGGAUGCUGUGAUUUACGAGUCAGCUGGUGAAAAGAUGAACAAGAAAGAACCGCUAAAUGUUUACUCUGAUAGAUUACCUUUCAAGAUGAUUCAAGCUGACUAGUGAAGUUGAUUUUCAUACAUUAUCUAACUAGGCUAAGAGUCUACAGACCGAGGAGCAGCUCUGUGAGGCUGCAGACAGAGGUGCUUUAAGCUACAUGUUAACAUCAACAAGCUAACAUGGUGAUGUUUAGCAGGUAUAAUGUUCAACAUCUUCACCAUUUAUUGAUUUUUCCUCAGAUUUUAAUUAUGUACAGCCUUUUUUUUUUUUUUUAGCCGAUAGGUUAAAGAGCAUCCACAAGAUUGAUCCCUGCCUGAUAUGAUGACUGAUGGACUGAACAGAAAGGUCACCAUGUGUGAAGGUCAAUGGAGGGUUUUUUCCUCCACUGGACCGCUCCAGGGUUGUGUCCUCUCACCUCUUUUAUUUGUCUUGUACGCUAAUGAGUGCCCGAGCCAACACGUGAGACAACAUAUUAUUACGUUUGCCAACGAUUCUGUCAUUGUGUCUCUUCUCAGUAGUGAUGACCCUAAUCCUGGCCCUGCAGAGGCUGGUGCCAUUCAUCCUUGUUGGACAUGAAUGUGUCCAAAACUAAAGAGAUGACAUUAGAUUUUAGGACUAACGCUAUGAUCAUCUCUCCUGUGAUGGUUAAUAAUCAGGCUGUUGAGUUCGUGCAGCAGUACAAAUAUCUUGACACUGUAACGGACGACAAGCUGACCUUCGAGUUUCACACUGUCACUAGGUUUAAAGUUUUAAUGUUGAUAAUGAAUUAAAUGGUUUAUUCCUGUUUUACUGAACCAGUCUUCUUUUGUUAGCUGCUAUGGGUUAAUUACCAUCAAAAACAGUCAAAACAUAGUCAAAGUGUGCAGCAAAAUUGCAGGCAUGACCUUAAAUGACCUUCCACACCUGUACAAGGUGAGGUCUUUGAAGGCAGCCCAGUCUAUCCUGGCUGAUCCUAACCACCUCCUGUCUGAGGAGUUUAAGUUGCUUCCAUCUGGCCACAGAUACAUUCUGUCAAGACGCAGGACCAACAGACUGUAACGCUCAUUUGUUCCUGCUGCCAUUGGCCUUUUAAACCAUUUUAUGUGAUCUUUGUACUAUAAUUAUGGUUUAUUAUUUGUUUACCGUUGUCUGAUAGCUAUGUGGUUAUGUAGUUACUGCUGGCUGUACUACAAAUUGCCCCUUGGGGGUAAAAAAGAUAUCCUUGACCUUAGCAUG